RNAcentral lists this ribosomal RNA (460 nucleotides) under uncultured bacterium. RNAcentral's name for it is "partial 16S ribosomal RNA". It matches the Rfam family "Bacterial small subunit ribosomal RNA", at positions 338 to 795 of the family's 1533-position model. The record is from RNAcentral.
CCUACGGGGUGCAGCAGUGAGGAAUAUUGGUCAAUGGGCGCGAGCCUGAACCAGCCAAGUCGCGUGAGGGAGGACGGCCCUACGGGUUGUAAACCUCUUUUGCCGGGGAGCAACGGGCGUCACGUGUGGCGCCACUGAGAGUACCCGGAGAAAAAGCAUCGGCUAACUCCGUGCCAGCAGCCGCGGUAAUACGGAGGAUGCGAGCGUUAUCCGGAUUUAUUGGGUUUAAAGGGUGCGUAGGCGGAUCGUUAAGUCAGGGGUCAAAUUGAGGGGCUCAACCCCUUCCCGCCAUUGAAACUGGCGUUCUUGAGUGGAAGAGAAGUAUGCGGAAUGCGUGGUGUAGCGGUGAAAUGCAUAGAUAUCACGCAGAACCCCGAUUGCGAAGGCAGCAUGCCGGCUUCCGACUGACGCUGAAGCACGAAAGCGUGGAGAUCGAACAGGAUUAGAUACCCUUGUAGUC